UUAAUUGAAACCAAAAAGAGGUAUACCACUGUUAAUGGUAAAAUUGAACAACAAUGUUCCAAUUAAA
Molecule: transfer RNA, 67 nt
Filed under: Protambulyx strigilis
Lineage: Eukaryota; Metazoa; Arthropoda; Insecta; Lepidoptera; Sphingidae
Description: tRNA-Asn
Source: RNAcentral